AAAGUAAUAUAGUCUAAAUAAGUAUUAUGUAAUAAAUAUGUAAGAAAAUAGGAUAACAAAUUGUAAGACUAAAUACUAUUAAUAAGUAUAAAAAGUACCGUAAGGGAAAGUAUAAAAAUGAUUAUUUUAUAAGCAAUCAUAAAUAUAUUAAUUAUAUUAAUGAUGUACCUUUUGUAUAAUGGGUCAGCAAGUAAUUAAUAUUAGUAAAACUAAUAAGUUAUAAAUAAAUAGAUAAAAAUAAUAUAUAUAUAAAAAUAUAUAAAUAAUACAUAUAAAAAAAAAUAAUAUGUAAUAUUUAAUUAAUAUUAAUUGACCCGAAAGCAAACGAUCUAACUAUGAUAAGAUGGGUAAACGAUCGAACAGGUUGAUGUUGCAAUAUCAUCUGAUUAAUUGUGGUUAGUAGUGAAAGACAAAUCUGGUUUGCAGAUAGCUGGUUUUCUAUGAAAUAUAUGUAAGUAUAGCCUUUAUAAAUAAUAAUUAUUAUAUAAUAUAUUAUUUAAUAUAUUAUAUAAAGAACGGUACAGCAAUUAAUAUAUAUUGGGGAACUAUUAAAGUUUUAUUAAUAAUAUUAAAUCUCGAAAUGUUUAAUUAUCCCCGCGACACAAACCCAGCUUAGCUGUUUGGUACCUCGGGGAAUAUAUAAUAAAGAGUCAGAUUAUGUGCGAUAAGGUAAAUAAUCUAAAGGGAAACAGCCCAGAUUAAGAUAUAAAGUUCCUAAUAAAUAAUAAGUGAAAUAAAUAUU
RNAcentral lists this ribosomal RNA (742 nucleotides) under Saccharomyces pastorianus. Its description in RNAcentral is "LSU rRNA". The stretch from base 312 to 434 matches the Rfam family "Bacterial large subunit ribosomal RNA", at positions 712 to 852 of the family's 2925-position model. The record is from RNAcentral. Lineage: Eukaryota; Fungi; Ascomycota; Saccharomycetes; Saccharomycetales; Saccharomycetaceae.